Molecule: ribosomal RNA, 394 nt
Filed under: uncultured marine stramenopile
Lineage: Eukaryota
Description: partial small subunit ribosomal RNA
Rfam family: Eukaryotic small subunit ribosomal RNA
Source: RNAcentral
GCUUGUCUCAAAGAUUAAGCCAUGCAUGUCUAAGUAUAAACAACUUUAUACUGUGAAACUGCGAACGGCUCAUUAUAUCAGCAAUAAUUUAUUUGAUGGUUCCUUACUACAUGGAUAACUGUAGUAAUUCUAGAGCUAAUACAUGCGCAAAGUCCUGACUCGCAAGGGGAGGGAUGUAUUUAUUAGAUUUCAAUCAACACUUUUUGCUGACUCAUGAUAACUUAGCGGAUCGCAGAGGCCUCGCGCCGGCGACAAAUCAUUCAAGUUUCUGCCCUAUCAGCUUUCGAUGGUAGUGUAUUGGACUACCAUGGCAUUCACGGGUAACGGAGGAUUAGGGUUCGAUUCCGGAGAGGGAGCCUGAGAAAUGGCUACCACAUCCAAGGAAGGCAGCAGG